ACUAUUUUGUGUUGACCUGCCACGUUAAAUUCCAAUAAAAUACACUGAAGUUGUGUUUGUAAUAAGACAAAAGUGGAAAAGUUCAUUGGGCAUUAAUA
Molecule: long non-coding RNA, 98 nt
Organism: Xiphophorus couchianus (Monterrey platyfish)
Lineage: Eukaryota; Metazoa; Chordata; Actinopteri; Cyprinodontiformes; Poeciliidae
Exons: 3
Source: RefSeq, a predicted model, not a curated record